CCUACGGGUGGCAGCAGUCGAGAAUCAUUCACAAUGGGGGAAACCCUGAUGGUGCGACGCCGCGUGGGGGAAUGAAGGUCUUCGGAUUGUAAACCCCUGUCAUGUGGGAGCAAAUUAAAAAGAUAGUACCACAAGAGGAAGAGACGGCUAACUCUGUGCCAGCAGCCGCGGUAAUACAGAGGUCUCAAGCGUUGUUCGGAAUCACUGGGCGUAAAGGGUGCGUAGGCUGUUUCGUAAGUCGUGUGUGAAAGGCGCGGGCUCAACCCGCGGACGGCACAUGAUACUGCGAGACUAGAGUAAUGGAGGGGGAACCGGAAUUCUCGGUGUAGCAGGGAAAUGCGUAGAUAUCGAGAGGAACACUCGUGGCGAAGGCGGGUUCCUGGACAUUAACUGACGCUGAGGCACGAAGGCCAGGGGAGCGAAAGGGAUUAGAUACCCCAGUAGUC
RNAcentral lists this ribosomal RNA (446 nucleotides) under uncultured bacterium. RNAcentral describes it as "partial 16S ribosomal RNA". It matches the Rfam family "Bacterial small subunit ribosomal RNA", at positions 338 to 795 of the family's 1533-position model. The record is from RNAcentral.